Molecule: ribosomal RNA, 253 nt
Filed under: uncultured bacterium
Lineage: Bacteria
Description: partial 16S ribosomal RNA
Rfam family: Bacterial small subunit ribosomal RNA
Source: RNAcentral
UACGGAGGGAGCUAGCGUUGUUCGGAAUUACUGGGCGUAAAGCGCACGUAGGCGGCUUUGUAAGUUAGAGGUGAAAGCCCGGGGCUCAACUCCGGAACUGCCUUUAAGACUGCAUCGCUUGAAUCCGGGAGAGGUGAGUGGAAUUCCGAGUGUAGAGGUGAAAUUCGUAGAUAUUCGGAAGAACACCAGUGGCGAAGGCGACUUACUGGACGACUGUUGACGCUGAGGUGCGAAAGCGUGGGGAGCAAACAGG